GAAAAAGUAUGGAAAAUCAAGGAAAAUAAGUGAAAAAGGUGGUGAGUCCUCCGAUAAAGGCAAGGAAAUUGCACCCGAGGACCAAUAGUCUGAGUACUUCAGAAAUCUGCACUCUAGACAUUGUUCAGAUUAGGUUGUAGAUAGCUGAGUUCAUCGAGGACUAC
Molecule: small RNA, 164 nt
Filed under: Theobroma cacao (cacao)
Lineage: Eukaryota; Viridiplantae; Streptophyta; Magnoliopsida; Malvales; Malvaceae
Description: sRNA Tc09v2_g014780
Source: RNAcentral